RNAcentral lists this long non-coding RNA (397 nucleotides) under Vitis vinifera (wine grape). RNAcentral describes it as "long non-coding RNA (VVIN_LNC003699)". The record is from RNAcentral. Lineage: Eukaryota; Viridiplantae; Streptophyta; Magnoliopsida; Vitales; Vitaceae.
UCACAAUCAUCACAUAUGUUGGUACUAUCGAUUCUAAGCAAAAGGAGAACGUGGGUAUGUCUCUUCAUCCUGGUAUACGCCGCCCUUCUCUUCUUCUCAUGGAACCUCCUCAAGACCAUCCUCUCCUGGUAUAAUAACUCCAUGUCUUCUUCAUCUCCUCCGUCGUCGUUUGGGUGGCCGGCCCUGUACGCAUCAGUCCUGCUUGGGGUUGUCUUUGGCCUUCUUUCUAUGGUGGCCGCCCUGGCCGUGGCUGUGCCGGCCACUCUAGUCACCUGGAUCACGGUUCUGGUUCUUCUGACCUUCUGUGGGAAGCCAAGGAGGACUCUGGUGGUUGAGGGCAGGAUGAUCACUGCUGAGAUUACAGGGUUUGUGCUCAAGAUCUUGUUGAAGGAAGGGA